CGCUGAGUGCCUGGUACGUGUAGCGCAGGAUCGUGACUUCUGGAAAUGGUCCAUACCGCUCCAGCAAGGAGGCCACCGAACCACCUGGCACAAAUAGACCAACCAAUCACACUCGAAAACAUGAAGACACAGAAGAAAUAGGGAGGAAACAGGCCGACAACUGCCACCUAUAGGCCUUUGCAUCAAGAAAGAAGGUCCGGUUUGGCAACCAAUUCGUUCCUCCUCACUGGCAUGCGGGCGACGGCUUGGAGCGUGUGUGUUGAGGCUGGACGACCAAGAUUUGGUCAUCAGGAAACUACUGCGCUGUUUUUGGGUGCAGUAACAACUACAGAAAAAGGAAACUGCUGUCAGCAGAAUUGCCAUGUGCAUCACCAGACACAGUUUUUCUGGCUGUGGGCUUUUCAAGUUGCAUCGUUUUCCUGUUGACGAGGAGCAGCAGCUUCUAUGGAUUCCAAACUUAAACAGGAAAAACUUUGUACCUUCCGCAAGUACUCAGGUAUGUUCAGAGCACUUCUUCUCAGACGAACAAACUGCAACGAUUUCGACACCGAUGCUCAACCUUUGCUAUAAACAGAAGGUACGCAGCCAUUCCAACGAUGACAAUACUUCCCCGAUUAACAGCCCCACAUAACAUUUCUUUCUAUCGUCGGCAAAGUACCGCGGCACCGAGAGUCACUCAAAUAUUGCGAUUAAAAAAAGGAGGGAAGCGGAGCGUGCAGGCACGUCAGCGUCGUUUAAUCUACGAGCUAUUCAAAUAGACACCUGUAAAAACAAACGAGCGAGUAAGAUACGGUGACCCCUUCAUAGUUGAGAAACAAUUUAAACAACAGUUAGUGCACAGUUAACAAAAACUGUCAGUGCCAGGAAAUAAAGACAAACCACUACACUCCAAUGCAUGGCUUCAUGCAAUAGCGGUAGUCGAUGCGACGGCAUGACGUAAAAAAAUCUUGUUGAAAAAGCAGAAAACUACAGCUCAAGAAAGAUAUUCACUGUGCUCUCGAAGUGCUGUUGCUCACUCUGGAAAUGAAAGGCCUGAAAAUACUGUGCAUUCUUCGAACAGAAAGUCGGUGCUGUAAAUAUACAUCAACAGAGGGGGACUAGUCCACGGCACUGCAUAAUAAUACAAUUGGCCCUCAACAGCUUGAAUCUUGUCAGAACGUCUCAUACUCUUUUUCUAAAGAACAUGCAUCACUUCAGUUGAAAUUCACCCCGCAAAAAAAAAACAACAAUAAAACGGCAGCCGCAUGCUUCUCUUCUAUGCAAACAGCAAGCUUCCCGCAUGCCAGAUGGGUUGCCAGACCAGAAAAGGCAGGUGGUCGAAAUUUCCGAGCCCUCCACUUCGACGUCUCUUAUAAUCAUACAUGGUGGUUUUGGUACGUUAACAGAAAAGGAUUGCCCGCGAGCGAGAUGGCGGCGCUCAUGAAAAGAAAAACCUCUAUGGGAGCACAACACCUGCCUGCUCCUUCAAGAAGGGGAGACAUAGAAGAAACAAAGGCUGGAGGUAAAAAAAAAGAGAAGAGAGAACAGAAAAGUAAGAAAAGGAAAAAAAUUAUGCAAACACAAAUAGUCGCACGAGAAAUGUCUAUAAAUGCUACGCCAAGUCCGUUACAGGGUUACUCAAGCAGAAACCAGACACCACACACACUACACGUGUAAACUGAACCGGUUCUGCAUUCACUGUAUCUCAAAAGAGCUUGCAAACUUCCAUCUGUAACAGUGCUACAGAUCAGUUUAUUACCCUCCAAAAGCUGCCGCAGGAUGUGUUGAGGGAAGGGCGCACUCACCUGC
Molecule: long non-coding RNA, 1788 nt
Filed under: Rhipicephalus microplus (southern cattle tick)
Lineage: Eukaryota; Metazoa; Arthropoda; Arachnida; Ixodida; Ixodidae
Description: uncharacterized LOC119180614
Source: RNAcentral